This is a non-coding RNA of Anas platyrhynchos (mallard), 1492 nucleotides long. NCBI's taxonomy places the organism in Eukaryota, Metazoa, Chordata, Aves, Anseriformes, Anatidae. The record is from RefSeq and is a predicted model, not a curated record.
GUUCUCUGUUUGUUUUGAUGCAGGUCAUUGCUGUUCCUUUUCCUUGUAAAGUCUUCCACCUCCCUUGAUAUUUAUAUAUUUUUUCCUCUGUCUUUUGAGUUGCUGACUUGUCGCCCCAAGCUCUAGGAUGGUAGAAUGCCUUUCACAGCAUCAUCACUACAGAUUUGAGAACGUCGGAGGAAAGGGGCCAACAUUUUCCUUGUAGCUAGCAUGUCAUAUCUUGCCUACCUUUUCUGCUACCUUCUUCUCACAACAGCUGCACCUUGGAGGCCAAACAAAGGAACAAGUCCAGGUGGCUUUGUUUCUGCUUAUCUUCCCAUUAUCUCAGGGAUGACAUUACUGUAUUGCUUCCCAUCUGCUGCCGCUGAGGUCACCGUUCUGGCACACAGCAGAACAGCUGCAGAGAUCAAGUGAUGGCCCUGCUAUAGCUUCCUGGAGGGAUGAACGUGGAAAUGAACAUCAGGAAAAGGAAAUUGCCAGCCAUGUCCCUGUGCUGGCCACUUGAGCGCUCGAAAGAUUUGGCAGGUGGCUCCAAAUUUUUCCAUGGAGGAAGGCAGGAUCUUUUUCUUCUGUACGCUAAGCCUCUGCUCAGAUAAAACUACCAUAAACUGCUUUCACUACUCAUUCUUGAUCUCACCCAAAUCUGCAUCUGGACCUCAUCCCACUCCACUGUCCUGUGAAGGUUGCUAAUGCUGGGGGUUUUCUCUAGAUGCUGCAUCCAGAAACAAUUUCUGCUGCUUUUGCCAGAGAGUGAAGGUUCUUCACAAAGCAGGAAAAUAAGGAGUAACCAUCCUAACUGGCAUCAAUCAAAAAUGUCCCUGCUGAUUUCCUGUGCCCACUGUACAGAAUAAAUGAAUAAAUGCUAACAUUAGCAUAGUACAGGGGAGUUAGGAAUGCAGGGCACAAGGACAGCUCGUGACCUGAGGAACAGGAUUUACACAAGAGUGAAUUUGUUACCGUGCGGACUCCCCAUGUGGGGCACUGACUUCCUGGAAAACCUUUGCUGGCAAAGCAGUCCUCAAAGAGUAGUGACAAGCUAGCACAUUGUGUCAGGCAUCGUGGAAGGAUGAAGGUAGCUGGCCAUCAGCAGCUGUUUUGAGUGGAAAUCCGGCACAGCAGAAAGCUUUGGCCACUAGGGAUGGCAUUUGUGCAGUGCACAUUGGCCACUAGGUAGAGUGCUUUUUCAGAGCUGUGUCUUCACACCUUUACAACCAAAGUAAAGUGGAGAAAUAAAUCAUUGUGCAUGGUUGUCAUCUUUGCUCCAGUAGCACCAGCCAAAGAGUUUAAAUAUAGCUAAACCACUGUGUUUCCUGAGAAUAAAUGCUCAGAUACUCAAAAUAAAUUGCUAGGUCCUGCUAACACAGGGAUGAUUUAUAAACCAAUUAUACUGGGAAUUUUAUUCUACAUUGUUGCUCUUAGGGAUUAUGGGUCAAUUAGGUUUUUGCUCCUGUAGGAACACACCCUUAUUCUGCCAUAAAAUGUCUGAAGUUGG